GCUAGUGUAGCUUAAUUUAAAGUAUGGCACUGAAGAUGCUAAGAUAGAAAUUAAAAAUUUUUCGCAGGCA
This 70-nucleotide transfer RNA is filed under the name Squatina aculeata (sawback angelshark). Its description in RNAcentral is "tRNA-Phe". It matches the Rfam family "tRNA". Rfam says of the family: Transfer RNA (tRNA) molecules are approximately 80 nucleotides in length. Their secondary structure includes four short double-helical elements and three loops (D, anti-codon, and T loops). Further hydrogen bonds mediate the characteristic L-shaped molecular structure. tRNAs have two regions of fundamental functional importance: the anti-codon, which is responsible for specific mRNA codon recognition, and the 3' end, to which the tRNAs corresponding amino acid is attached (by aminoacyl-tRNA synthetases). tRNAs cope with the degeneracy of the genetic code in two manners: having more than one tRNA (with a specific anti-codon) for a particular amino acid; and 'wobble' base-pairing, i.e. permitting non-standard base-pairing at the 3rd anti-codon position. Lineage: Eukaryota; Metazoa; Chordata; Chondrichthyes; Squatinidae. The record is from RNAcentral.